UUAGGAAUUUUCCACAAUGGGCGCAAGCCUGAUGGAGCAACGCCGCGUGCAGGAUGAAGGUUUUCGGAUUGUAAACUGCUUUUAUAAGUGAAGAAUAUGACGGUAACUUAUGAAUAAGGAUCGGCUAACUCCGUGCCAGCAGCCGCGGUCAUACGGAGGAUCCAAGCGUUAUCCGGAUUUACUGGGCGUAAAGAGUUGCGUAGGUGGUUUGUUAAGUGAAUAGUGAAAUCUUGUGGCUCAACCAUAAGGC
This 250-nucleotide ribosomal RNA is filed under the name uncultured bacterium. Its description in RNAcentral is "partial 16S ribosomal RNA". It matches the Rfam family "Bacterial small subunit ribosomal RNA", at positions 355 to 621 of the family's 1533-position model. The record is from RNAcentral.